RNAcentral lists this non-coding RNA (214 nucleotides) under Bacillus solimangrovi. Its description in RNAcentral is "T-box sequence". It matches the Rfam family "T-box leader". From Rfam's summary of the family: Uncharged tRNA acts as the effector for transcription antitermination of genes in the T-box leader family. The record is from RNAcentral. Lineage: Bacteria; Bacillati; Bacillota; Bacilli; Caryophanales; Bacillaceae.
UUGAACGUGAUGAAGGGAACUAGUAGCAAUUAUAUCUGAUAUGCAGAGAGCUGGUGGUUGGUGCAAACCAGUACAGAUGAAUUGUGAAUCCAUCCCAGAGCAGAGUACUGAACCGUUUAGUAAGUAUUCUCGGUGAACACCGUUAUCGUUUCUUGAGUGGGGAGCAGUUUGCUUUCAACUAGGGUGGCAACGCGGGUUAGCUCUCGUCCCUUAU